CACAUGCAGCCGAGCGGUAUAGAUUCUUCGGGAUCUAGAGAGCGGCGUACGGGUGCGGAACACGUGUGCAACCUGCCUUUAUCAGGGGGAUAGCCUUUCGAAAGGAAGAUUAAUACCCCAUAAUAUUUAGAAUGGCAUCAUUUUAAAUUGAAAACUCCGGUGGAUAGAGAUGGGCACGCGCAAGAUUAGAUAGUUGGUGAGGUAACGGCUCACCAAGUCUACGAUCUUUAGGGGGCCUGAGAGGGUGAUCCCCCACACUGGUACUGAGACACGGACCAGACUCCUACGGGAGGCAGCAGUGAGGAAUAUUGGACAAUGGGUGCGAGCCUGAUCCAGCCAUCCCGCGUGAAGGACGACGGCCCUAUGGGUUGUAAACUUCUUUUGUAUAGGGAUAAACCUAGAUACGUGUAUCUAGCUGAAGGUACUAUACGAAUAAGCACCGGCUAACUCCGUGCCAGCAGCCGCGGUAAUACGGAGGGUGCAAGCGUUAUCCGGAUUUAUUGGGUUUAAAGGGUCCGUAGGCGGAUCUGUAAGUCAGUGGUGAAAUCUCACAGCUUAACUGUGAAACUGCCAUUGAUACUGCAGGUCUUGAGUGUUGUUGAAGUAGCUGGAAUAAGUAGUGUAGCGGUGAAAUGCAUAGAUAUUACUUAGAACACCAAUUGCGAAGGCAGGUUACUAAGCAACAACUGACGCUGAUGGACGAAAGCGUGGGGAGCGAACAGGAUUAGAUACCCUGGUAGUCCACGCCGUAAACGAUGCUAACUCGUUUUUGGUAUUUCGGUAUCAGAGACUAAGCGAAAGUGAUAAGUUAGCCACCUGGGGAGUACGAACGCAAGUUUGAAACUCAAAGGAAUUGACGGGGGCCCGCACAAGCGGUGGAUUAUGUGGUUUAAUUCGAUGAUACGCGAGGAACCUUACCAAGGCUUAAAUGGGAAAUGACAGGUUUAGAAAUAGACUUUUCUUCGGACAUUUUUCAAGGUGCUGCAUGGUUGUCGUCAGCUC
This 1002-nucleotide ribosomal RNA is filed under the name Chryseobacterium vietnamense. Its description in RNAcentral is "bacterial SSU rRNA". It matches the Rfam family "Bacterial small subunit ribosomal RNA", at positions 52 to 1061 of the family's 1533-position model. Lineage: Bacteria; Pseudomonadati; Bacteroidota; Flavobacteriia; Flavobacteriales; Weeksellaceae. The record is from RNAcentral.